CGUUCCCGGGUCUUGUACACACCGCCCGUCACACCACGAAAGUCGGCAACACCCGAAGCCGGUGGCCUAACCCGCAAGGGAGGGAGCCGCCGAAGGUGGGGCUGGCGAUUGGGGUG
This 116-nucleotide ribosomal RNA is filed under the name uncultured bacterium. RNAcentral's name for it is "partial 16S ribosomal RNA". It matches the Rfam family "Bacterial small subunit ribosomal RNA", at positions 1369 to 1482 of the family's 1533-position model. The record is from RNAcentral.